CCUACGGGGGACAGCAGUGAGGAAUAUUGGUCAAUGGACGAGAGUCUGAACCAGCCAAGUAGCGUGAAGGAUGACUGCCCUAUGGGUUGUAAACUUCUUUUAUAUGGGAAUAAAAUGUUCCACGUGUGGGAUUUUGUAUGUACCAUAUGAAUAAGGAUCGGCUAACUCCGUGCCAGCAGCCGCGGUAAUACGGAGGAUCCGAGCGUUAUCCGGAUUUAUUGGGUUUAAAGGGAGCGUAGGUGGAUUGUUAAGUCAGUUGUGAAAGUUUGCGGCUCAACCGUAAAAUUGCAGUUGAAACUGGCAGUCUUGAGUACAGUAGAGGUGGGCGGAAGUCGUGGUGUAGCGGUGAAAUGCUUAGAUAUCACGAAGAACUCCGAUUGCGAAGGCAGUUCACUGGACUGCAACUGACACUGAGGCUCGAAAGUGUGGGUAUCAAACAGGAUUAGAUACCCGUGUAGUC
This 460-nucleotide ribosomal RNA is filed under the name uncultured bacterium. RNAcentral's name for it is "partial 16S ribosomal RNA". It matches the Rfam family "Bacterial small subunit ribosomal RNA", at positions 338 to 795 of the family's 1533-position model. The record is from RNAcentral.